CGGUCCUAAGGUAGCGAAAUUCCUUGUCGGGUAAGUUCCGACCUGCACGAAUGGCAUAACGAUGGCCACACUGUCUCCUCCUGAGACUCAGUGAAGUUGAAGUGUUUGUGAUGAUGCAAUCUCCCCGCGGCUAGACGGAAAGACCCCAUGAACCUUUACUGCAGCUUUGCAUUGGACUUUGAACCGAUCUGUGUAGGAUAGGUGGGAGGCUGUGAAACCGGGACGCCAGUCUCGGCGGAGCCGUCCUUGAAAUACCACCCUGAUUUGUUUGAGGUUCUAACCUAGGCCAGUCAUCCUGGUCGGGGACCGUGCAUGGUGGGCAGUUUGACUGGGGCGGUCUCCUCCUAAAGGGUAACGGAGGAGUGCGAAGGUACGCUAGGUACGGUCGGAAAUCGUGCUGAUAGUGCAAUGGCAAAAGCGUGCUUGACUGCGAGACCCACAAGUCGAGCAGAUACGAAAGUAGGUCAUAGUGAUCCGGUGGCUCUGUAUGGAAGGGCCAUCGCUCAACGGAUAAAAGGUACUCUGGGGAUAACAGGCUGAUACCGCCCAAGAGUUCAUAUCGACGGCGGUGUUUGGCACCUCGAUGUCGGCUCAUCUCAUCCUGGGGCUGUAGCCGGUCCCAAGGGUAUGGCUGUUCGCCAUUUAAAGAGGUACGUGAGCUGGGUUUAAAACGUCGUGAGACAGUUUUGUCCCUAUCUGCCGUGGGCGUUGGAAGAUUGACGGGGGCUGCUCCUAGUACGAGAGGACCGGAGUGGACUGACCUCUGGUGUACCGGUUGUCACGCCAGUGGCAUCGCCGGGUAGCUAUGUCGGGAAGAGAUAACCGCUGAAAGCAUCUAAGCGGGAAACUUGCCUGAAGAUAAGUCUUCCUGGAGGCUUGACCUCCCUGAAGAGUCGUUCGAGACCAGGACGUUGAUAGGUCGGGUGUGUAAGCGCUGUGAGGCGUUGAGCUAACCGAUACUAAUUGCUCGUGCAGCUUGAUCCU
This 984-nucleotide ribosomal RNA is filed under the name human gut metagenome. RNAcentral describes it as "bacterial LSU rRNA". It matches the Rfam family "Bacterial large subunit ribosomal RNA", at positions 1946 to 2925 of the family's 2925-position model. The record is from RNAcentral.